Molecule: small nucleolar RNA, 121 nt
Filed under: Jaculus jaculus (lesser Egyptian jerboa)
Lineage: Eukaryota; Metazoa; Chordata; Mammalia; Rodentia; Dipodidae
Source: RNAcentral
AUUGAGGUCUAUCCCAAUGGGGCUUUUCCAGUAGCUAAGCAUCCUUGGAAACAUACAAGAACCCUGUGGUUUCCCUAUAUUCACAGGAUUUACAUAGGCCUGAAGGGAGUACAAAACAACU